AUUGAACGCUGGCGGCAGGCCUAACACAUGCAAGUCGAGCGGUAGCACAAGAGAGCUUGCUCUCUGGGUGACGAGCGGCGGACGGGUGAGUAAUGUCUGGGAAACUGCCUGAUGGAGGGGGAUAACUACUGGAAACGGUAGCUAAUACCGCAUAACGUCUUCGGACCAAAGUGGGGGACCUUCGGGCCUCACGCCAUCAGAUGUGCCCAGAUGGGGAUAGCUAGUAGGUGGGGUAAUGGCUCACCUAGGCGACGAUCCCUAGCUGGUCUGAGAGGAUGACCAGCCACACUGGAACUGAGAC
Molecule: ribosomal RNA, 301 nt
Filed under: uncultured bacterium
Lineage: Bacteria
Description: bacterial SSU rRNA
Rfam family: Bacterial small subunit ribosomal RNA
Source: RNAcentral